This is a long non-coding RNA of Heterocephalus glaber (naked mole-rat), 341 nucleotides long. Lineage: Eukaryota; Metazoa; Chordata; Mammalia; Rodentia; Bathyergidae. The record is from Ensembl.
GUGAUCCUCCUGCUUCAGCCUGCCAAGCGCUGGGAUUACAGUUCUCUUGAGUACAGACCCAGGGGUGAAACUGCUGCAUCCUGUAACAACUGCCAGGCUCGGUUCCACAGUGGCUGCAGCACCUCGCAUUCCUUCCAGCAGUGUGUGCAAAGUGUCAGCAGCUUCCCCAGCAUUACCGAAGAAUUCUGAUCUCGCUAUGCACUUGAGGUGAUCCUCCUGCCUCAGCCUCUUGAAUGUUGGAAUUAGGAACCACCACACCCAGGGGGCCUUCUCACUGAGUUACGUCCCCUCGGAUCCCUGCCCCCACCCCUUUUCCAGAGGAUGGAGAAAAGAAGUCUUGC